UCUGCAUCUACGGUUGAGAGUUAUCCAGU
Molecule: non-coding RNA, 29 nt
Filed under: Rattus norvegicus (Norway rat)
Lineage: Eukaryota; Metazoa; Chordata; Mammalia; Rodentia; Muridae
Source: RNAcentral